Molecule: ribosomal RNA, 460 nt
Filed under: uncultured bacterium
Lineage: Bacteria
Description: partial 16S ribosomal RNA
Rfam family: Bacterial small subunit ribosomal RNA
Source: RNAcentral
CCUACGGGUGGCAGCAGUGAGGAAUAUUGGUCAAUGGGCGCGAGCCUGAACCAGCCAAGUCGCGUGAGGGAGGACGGCCCUACGGGUUGUAAACCUCUUUUGCCGGGGAGCAACGGGCGUCACGUGUGGCGCCACUGAGAGUACCCGGAGAAAAAGCAUCGGCUAACUCCGUGCAAGCAGCCGCGGUAAUACGGAGGAUGCGAGCGUUAUCCGGUUUUAUUGGGUUUAAGGGUUGCGUAGGCGGCUCGUUAAGUCAGUGGUCAAAUUGAGGGGCUCAACCCCUGCCAGCCAGUGAAACUGGCGCGAUUGAGUGGAAGAGAAGUAUGCGGAAUGCGAGGUGUAGCGGUGAAAUGAAUAGAUAGCGCGCAGAACCCCGAUUGCGAAGGCAGCAUGCCGGCUUCCGACUGACGCUGAAGCACGAAAGCGUGGGGAUCGAACAGGAUUAGAUACCCCAGUAGUC